UCCACACUCCCUUCAUCCGGAAAUACUUGUCAUAGGAAUGAUUGUAUGUAGAUAUAUUUUAGUUUUAAAUAUAUCCAUUUUUAUUCAUUUGUGCGACAAAUAAUUUCGGACGAAGGAGGUAAUAA
Hordeum vulgare subsp. vulgare (domesticated barley) is the source of this 125-nucleotide non-coding RNA. The record is from Rfam. Lineage: Eukaryota; Viridiplantae; Streptophyta; Magnoliopsida; Poales; Poaceae.